GACGAACGCUGGCGGCGUGCUUAACACAUGCAAGUCGAACGGAAAGGCCCUGCUUUUGUGGGGUGCUCGAGUGGCGAACGGGUGAGUAACACGUGAGUAACCUGCCCUUGACUUUGGGAUAACUUCAGGAAACUGGGGCUAAUACCGGAUAGGAGCUCCUGCUGCAUGGUGGGGGUUGGAAAGUUUCGGCGGUUGGGGAUGGACUCGCGGCUUAUCAGCUUGUUGGUGGGGUAGUGGCUUACCAAGGCUUUGACGGGUAGCCGGCCUGAGAGGGUGACCGGCCACAUUGGGACUGAGAUACGGCCCAGACUCCUACGGGAGGCAGCAGUGGGGAAUAUUGCACAAUGGGCGGAAGCCUGAUGCAGCAACGCCGCGUGCGGGAUGACGGCCUUCGGGUUGUAAACCGCUUUCGCCUGUGACGAAGCGUGAGUGACGGUAAUGGGUAAAGAAGCACCGGCUAACUACGUGCCAGCAGCCGCGGUGAUACGUAGGGUGCGAGCGUUGUCCGGAUUUAUUGGGCGUAAAGGGCUCGUAGGUGGUUGAUCGCGUCGGAAGUGUAAUCUUGGGGCUUAACCCUGAGCGUGCUUUCGAUACGGGUUGACUUGAGGAAGGUAGGGGAGAAUGGAAUUCCUGGUGGAGCGGUGGAAUGCGCAGAUAUCGGGAGGAACACCAGUGGCGAAGGCGGUUCUCUGGGCCUUUCCUGACGCUGAGGGGCGAAAGCGUGGGGAGCGAACAGGCUUAGAUACCCUGGUAGUCCACGCUGUAAACGGUGGGUACUAGGUGUGGGGUCCAUUCCACGGGUUCCGUGCCGUAGCUAACGCUUUAAGUACCCCGCCUGGGGAGUACGGCCGCAAGGCUAAAACUCAAAGGAAUUGACGGGGCCCCGCACAAGCGGCGGAGCAUGCGGAUUAAUUCGAUGCAACGCGUAGAACCUUACCUGGGUUUGACAUGGAUCGGGAGUGCUCAGAGAUGGGUGUGCCUCUUUUGGGGUCGGUUCACAGGUGGUGCAUGGCUGUCGUCAGCUCGUGUCGUGAGAUGUUGGGUUAAGUCCCGCAACGAGCGCAACCCUUGUUCACUGUUGCCAGCACGUUAUGGUGGGGACUCAGUGGAGACCGCCGGGGUCAACUCGGAGGAAGGUGGGGAUGACGUCAAGUCAUCAUGCCCCUUAUGUCCAGGGCUUCACGCAUGCUACAAUGGCUGGUACAGAGAGUGGCGAGCCUGUGAGGGUGAGCGAAUCUCGGAAAGCCGGUCUCAGUUCGGAUUGGGGUCUGCAACUCGACCUCAUGAAGUCGGAGUCGCUAGUAAUCGCAGAUCAGCAACGCUGCGGUGAAUACGUUCCCGGG
Molecule: ribosomal RNA, 1343 nt
Filed under: uncultured bacterium
Lineage: Bacteria
Description: 16S ribosomal RNA
Rfam family: Bacterial small subunit ribosomal RNA
Source: RNAcentral